This 574-nucleotide ribosomal RNA is filed under the name uncultured archaeon. RNAcentral describes it as "bacterial SSU rRNA". It matches the Rfam family "Archaeal small subunit ribosomal RNA", at positions 1 to 577 of the family's 1478-position model. The record is from RNAcentral.
UUCCGGUUGAUCCCGCCGGAGGUUACUGCUAUCGGUGUUCGACUAAGCCAUGCGAGUCAAAUGUUCUUCGUGAACAUGGCGGACUGCUCAGUAACACGUGGAUAACCUGCCCUUAGGUUCGGCAUAACUCCGGGAAACUGGAGAUAAUUCCGAAUAGGUCAAAUAUGCUGGAAUGCUUUUUGGCCAAAAGACUUCGGUUGCCUAAGGAUGGAUCUGCGGUCUAUCAGGUUGUAGUGGGUGUAACGUACCUACUAGCCUACGACGGAUAUGGGUUGUGAGAGCAAGAGCCCAGGGAUGGAUUCUGAGACAUGAAUCCAGGCCCUACGGGGCGCAGCAGGCGCGAAAACUUUACAAUGCGGGAAACCGCGAUAAGGGGACACCGAGUGCCAGCAUUUAUGUUGGCUGUCCACAUGUGUAAACGGCAUGUGUUAGCAAGGGCCGGGCAAGACCGGGGCCAGCCGCCGCGGUAACACCGGCGGCCCGAGUGGUAAUCACUUUUAUUGGGUCUAAAGGGCCCGUAGCCGGUUUGAACAGUUCUUCGGAAAAUCUGACAGCUCAACUGUUAGGCUUCCGG